GAAGGUUUCGGAUGGAAUUUGAAAUGACUGAGCGGCGGACGGGUGAGUAACGCGUGGGUAACCUGCCUCAUACAGGGGGAUAACAGUUAGAAAUGACUGCUAAUACCGCAUAAGCACACAGUACCGCAUGGUACGGUGUGAAAAACUCCGGUGGUAUGAGAUGGACCCGCGUCUGAUUAGCUAGUUGGCGGGGUAACGGCCCACCAAGGCGACGAUCAGUAGCCGACCUGAGAGGGUGACCGGCCACAUUGGGACUGAGACACGGCCCAAACUCCUACGGGAGGCAGCAGUGGGGAAUAUUGCACAAUGGGGGAAACCCUGAUGCAGCAACGCCGCGUGAGUGAAGAAGUAUUUCGGUAUGUAAAGCUCUAUCAGCAGGGAAGAAAGUGACGGUACCUGACUAAGAAGCCCCGGCUAACUACGUGCCAGCAGCCGCGGUAAUACGUAGGGGGCAAGCGUUAUCCGGAUUUACUGGGUGUAAAGGGAGCGUAGACGGCACAGCAAGUCUGAAGUGAAAUCCCCGGGCUCAACCCGGGAACUGCUUUGGAAACUGUUGGGCUGGAGUGCUGGAGAGGCAAGCGGAAUUCCUAGUGUAGCGGUGAAAUGCGUAGAUAUUAGGAGGAACACCAGUGGCGAAGGCGGCUUGCUGGACAGUAACUGACGUUGAGGCUCGAAAGCGUGGGGAGCAAACAGGAUUAGAUACCCUGGUAGUCCACGCCGUAAACGAUGCAUACUAGGUGUCGGGGAGCAAAGCUUUCCGGUGCCGCCGCAAACGCAGUAAGUAUGCCACC
This 791-nucleotide ribosomal RNA is filed under the name uncultured bacterium. RNAcentral's name for it is "bacterial SSU rRNA". It matches the Rfam family "Bacterial small subunit ribosomal RNA", at positions 70 to 873 of the family's 1533-position model. The record is from RNAcentral.